UUAAGUUCAGCGGGUAGUCCUACUUGAUUUGAGGCCAGAUGUCAAAGUUACACAAUGAGUAACAUCCAAAGAUGCACUUAAAGUGAUGGUUUAGUUAGCAGACAGUAGUCUAGGUCCUGGCCAUCCGAAGAUGUCCUCAGCAAAAUACUUAUUAUGCCAAGUCAAACCAGUCAUAUAGACAGAUCCAAGCUAAUACUUUU
This 200-nucleotide unclassified non-coding RNA is filed under the name Filobasidium sp. RNAcentral's name for it is "partial internal transcribed spacer 2". The record is from RNAcentral. Lineage: Eukaryota; Fungi; Basidiomycota; Tremellomycetes; Filobasidiales; Filobasidiaceae.